This 1341-nucleotide ribosomal RNA is filed under the name uncultured bacterium. RNAcentral's name for it is "partial 16S ribosomal RNA". It matches the Rfam family "Bacterial small subunit ribosomal RNA", at positions 28 to 1381 of the family's 1533-position model. The record is from RNAcentral.
GACGAACUCUGGCGGCGUGCUUAACACAUGCAAGUCGAACGGUAAGGCUCCAGCUUGCUGGGGUACACGAGUGGCGAACGGGUGAGUAACACGUGGGUGACCUGCCCUGCACUUCGGGAUAAGCCUGGGAAACUGGGUCUAAUACCGGAUAGGACUGCACCGUGAGGGUGUGGUGGAAAGUUUUUUCGGUGUGGGAUGGGCCCGCGGCCUAUCAGCUUGUUGGUGGGGUAAUGGCCUACCAAGGCGGCGACGGGUAGCCGGCCUGAGAGGGUGGACGGCCACAUUGGGACUGAGACACGGCCCAGACUCCUACGGGAGGCAGCAGUGGGGAAUAUUGCACAAUGGGCGGAAGCCUGAUGCAGCGACGCCGCGUGGGGGAUGACGGCCUUCGGGUUGUAAACUCCUUUCACCAUCGACGAAGGGUUUCUGACGGUAGAUGGAGAAGAAGCACCGGCUAACUACGUGCCAGCAGCCGCGGUAAUACGUAGGGUGCGAGCGUUGUCCGGAAUUACUGGGCGUAAAGAGCUCGUAGGUGGUUUGUCGCGUCGUCUGUGAAAUUCCGGGGCUUAACUCCGGGCGUGCAGGCGAUACGGGCAUAACUUGAGUACUGUAGGGGAGACUGGAAUUCCUGGUGUAGCGGUGAAAUGCGCAGAUAUCAGGAGGAACACCGGUGGCGAAGGCGGGUCUCUGGGCAGUAACUGACGCUGAGGAGCGAAAGCAUGGGGAGCGAACAGGAUUAGAUACCCUGGUAGUCCAUGCCGUAAACGGUGGGCGCUAGGUGUGGGUUUCCUUCCACGGGAUCCGUGCCGUAGCUAACGCAUUAAGCGCCCCGCCUGGGGAGUACGGCCGCAAGGCUAAAACUCAAAGGAAUUGACGGGGGCCCGCACAAGCGGCGGAGCAUGUGGAUUAAUUCGAUGCAACGCGAAGAACCUUACCUGGGCUUGACAUAUACAGGAUCGCGCCAGAGAUGGUGUUUCCCUUGUGGCUUGUAUACAGGUGGUGCAUGGUUGUCGUCAGCUCGUGUCGUGAGAUGUUGGGUUAAGUCCCGCAACGAGCGCAACCCUUGUCUUAUGUUGCCAGCACGUUGUGGUGGGGACUCGUAAGAAACUGCCGGGGUUAACUCGGAGGAAGGUGGGGAUGACGUCAAAUCAUCAUGCCCCUUAUGUCCAGGGCUUCACACAUGCUACAAUGGUCGGUACAGUGGGUUGCCAGUCCGUGAGGGCGAGCUAAUCCCGCAAAGCCGGUCUCAGUUCGGAUCGGGGUCUGCAACUCGACCCCGUGAAGUCGGAGUCGCUAGUAAUCGCAGAUCAGCAACGCUGCGGUGAAUACGUUCCCGGGCCU